AGCUAUAGCUUGAUUGGUGAUCUGCAUGGCAUGCAGGGGGCCAGCGGUUCGAGUCCGCUUGGCUCCA
RNAcentral lists this transfer RNA (67 nucleotides) under Prochlorococcus marinus CUG1416. RNAcentral's name for it is "tRNA-OTHER". The record is from RNAcentral. Lineage: Bacteria; Bacillati; Cyanobacteriota; Cyanophyceae; Synechococcales; Prochlorococcaceae.